GACAGGAGCUGCCGUGGCCGAAGCCGGAGAGGCCACCGAAAGGCAAAGAAGAAGAACUGGAAGGCCAUCCGGCCGGCAGCUGCCUUCUGCUGCAGGCGAGAGAGAGCCUGCCUCUCCGGGUGGAGGACAGCCAAGCGGCCCGAGUUACAGAAGAGGAAGGGAGGAGAGAUGGAGAAAGAAGCGUCUGAGCUGUCAAAUUCUCCCAGCAGCCCCAAGAGCGAGAGCUGUGAGGCAGCACUGAGGACUCAGUUGUCGGUUCCUCUCUGUGGAUGUUGUUGACUGUGUCCGGCUCAGGUUUGUAUGCAUUGCUUUCGGCCUCAUUCUUCUCGCGGCGUGGGCAAAAAGGGACAGCUGGACACUUACUGGCUGUGGGCAGGAGCUGCCAUGGCUGAAGAUGGAGAGGCCAGAAAAAGGUACAACUUCUGAAGAAUAAAAUGAAGGGGAUCCAGCCAGCAGCUGUCUCCAGCUGCAGACAGGAGACAGCCUGCCUCUCCAGGUGAGGAAGGAUCCCUCUUAGUGUAGUCCUCAGCAGAUCCGAUCGCCAGUGUGCACGGCAGGGUCUGUGUGCGUAACCAAAAGCACAGUACGGCCACACAGUGUGUGCACAUGUGAGGCUGGGUAUCUAGGAAGCCUCAUAUUGUAAGAGCUGUAAGAUGCCAAUCUAAUCUCUUAGGUGGAUGAUAGUCAAGCGACCGGAGCUACAGAGGGGGAAGGGAAGGGGAGAGACAGACAGAGAAAGAUGGAUCUGAACUGUCAAAUUCUCCCAGCAGCUCCAAGAGUGGGAGGUACAGUGAGUCCUGGACCCUUGGGGCUGUGUCACCCAUCUUCUGCAUCCCAGUCCCUCCCUGCCUCCACCUUCUUUCUCUCAUUGCUGUCGUUUUUCUUUGCUUCCUGCACCUCUCCCUCUCUUGUUCUCCAAGUCCCCCUCUUUCUCUGUUGUUCUACCCCUCUGUUUUCUUUUUUUCUCUGUGCUUCUGUCCUGUUCCCUGUCCCUCUUUUUUUCAUCCUCUGUCUCUGCCCUGCAGCCCAUCACUACUUUUGUCUUUCUCCACCUAUCUGUCCAUCUUCCUAUCCCAUUUUUUUUGAUUCCUCCACGUCUGCCCUUUAGCCCUUCACAAUUCCCACCACCCUCACCUCUCUGGCGCUGUGUCUCUAUUUUUAAACUCGUCUCUCUCUGCCCUGUAUUCUAGAUAUACUUUUUUAGAUUCUCUUUGCUCCAGGUCCCUGUCCCUAUGUUUCAAUUUCUUGCCUCUCUGUCUCACAGCCCAUUUCUGCCUUUAUCAUUCUCUCUCUAUCUGGCUUCUUGUCCCUAUUCUUUAUUUCUCCACUCUCUCUCCUUUAGAUCAUUGAUGGUUUUGGUAUUUCUCAGUCUCUCUCUGUCCUCCUCACUCUACCCUUUUUAAAUUCCUCCCUCUCUGCCCUGUGGCCAUCACUAAUCUUUGGUAUUUUCCAUCUCUCUGUCUGGUACCUUCUCCCCUUUUAUUAGUUCCUCCUUUCUGUCCUGUAGCCCAUUGCUAUUCCCACCCACUCACCUCCCGUCGCCUCUCUCUCUGUGUCUCCCUUUCCCUAUUUUUCAAUCCCCCCUCUCUGCCCUGUAGCCGGUUGCUCUUGUAGUGGGUUUACAUGGCAAGGUUUUGUUAGCUGGGGGGGGUGGGUUCUCUGAGAAGACACCAGGAGUUGCCCCCACGUUGGGCACAGCCAGCUCCAGCUCCAAGACAGAUCUGCUGCUGGUCAAAGCUGAGCCAACCAGCAACGCUGGUAGCACCUCUGUGAUAUUUAAGAGGGGCUAAAAAAGUGCUGUGCAGAAGCUGUGAUAGAGAAAAUGUGAGUGUGAAACAGCCCUGCAGACCCCCAGGUCAGUGCAGAAGGAGGGGGAGGAGAUGCUCCAGGCGCCGGAGCAGAGAUUCCCCUGCAGCCCGUGGGGAAGACCAUGGUGAGGCAGGCUGUCCCCCUGCAGCCCAGGGAGGUCCACGGUGGAGCAGAUCUCCACCUGCAGCCCGGGGAGGACCCCACGCCGGAGCAGGGGGAUGCCCGAAGGAGGCUGUGACCCCGUGGGAAGCCCGCGCUGGAGCAGGCUCCUGGCAGAACCUGCGGAUCUGUGGAGA
This is a long non-coding RNA of Harpia harpyja (harpy eagle), 2105 nucleotides long. RefSeq lists it as uncharacterized. The transcript is spliced from 3 exons. Lineage: Eukaryota; Metazoa; Chordata; Aves; Accipitriformes; Accipitridae. The record is from RefSeq and is a predicted model, not a curated record.